RNAcentral lists this ribosomal RNA (271 nucleotides) under uncultured prokaryote. RNAcentral describes it as "partial 16S ribosomal RNA". It matches the Rfam family "Bacterial small subunit ribosomal RNA", at positions 524 to 794 of the family's 1533-position model. The record is from RNAcentral.
UACGUAGGUGGCAAGCGUUAUCCGGAUUUACUGGGUGUAAAGGGCGUGUAGGCGGGUCUGCAAGUCAGAUGUGAAAUCUCCGGGCUUAACUCGGAAGUGUCAUCUGAAACUACGGAUCUUGAGUACUGGAGAGGAUAGUGGAAUUCCUAGUGUAGCGGUAAAAUGCGUAGAUAUUAGGAGGAACACCAGUGGCGAAGGCGGCUAUCUGGACAGUAACUGACGCUGAGGCGCGAAAGCGUGGGGAGCAAACAGGAUUAGAUACCCCGGUAGU